UACGUAGGGACCAAGCGUUGUUCGGAUUUACUGGGCGUAAAGGGCGCGUAGGCGGCAAUUCAAGUCAGCUGUGAAAUCUCCGGGCUUAACUCGGAACGGUCAGCUGAUACUGCUUUGCUAGAGUGCAGAAGGGGCAAUCGGAAUUCUUGGUGUAGCGGUGAAAUGCGUAGAUAUUGCUCGGAAGGCCAACGGCGAAGGCAGGUUACUGGUACGCAACUGACACUGAGGCACGAAAGCGUGGGGAGCGAACGGG
This 253-nucleotide ribosomal RNA is filed under the name uncultured bacterium. RNAcentral describes it as "partial 16S ribosomal RNA". It matches the Rfam family "Bacterial small subunit ribosomal RNA", at positions 524 to 776 of the family's 1533-position model. The record is from RNAcentral.